RNAcentral lists this unclassified non-coding RNA (205 nucleotides) under soil metagenome. RNAcentral describes it as "partial internal transcribed spacer 1". The record is from RNAcentral.
AAACGAUUAAGCUUAUAUUCUUUCUGAAUAUACUUUAUUUAACCCACUUCGCGAGUACCUACCCAAUUGCUUCCGCGAGGGCUGUCCCUCACGGCCCUCUGAAUAGAUUUACUCUUUGGGGAGUCCUUGCGGAAGGUAUAACAAUGCUAACCUCGUUGCAGUACCAUGUCAUCUGUCUGAAUCUGUUUAAAAUACCAAAUUAUUA